UUAGAAUCAUUAGUCCUCGAAUGAUGAGUUAGGGCACUUUAUGCACGAGAAAAUAAAGAAUACACCAAUAUCAAACGGCAAACCCGAAAAGUAACAAGAGGAAACAAAAUUCAUACCUUAUGCAAUUUCGUCCGCCACAGGUAACAAGAAUGGAUACUUAGCCUUCAUAUCCUCUUCAGAUUCCCAAGUAGCUUCUUCCUCCUUUUGGUUACUCCAAAAAACUUAAACCGAGGCUACAUUCUUAGAUCUCAGCCUACGAACUUACCUUUCUAAAAUCUCAACCGGGAUUUUUUCAUAAGAUAAAGAAUUCAUCACACCAACUCUCUUAAUAGGCAAAACCAAAGAAGGAUCACCCAUACAUUUCUUCAGCAUCGAAACAUGGAGCAUGGGUUAAAUGAAACCCAAACUAGAAGGCAAAUCUAAUUCAUAAACAACAUUACCCACUCUCCUCAGG
Molecule: long non-coding RNA, 454 nt
Filed under: Capsicum annuum
Lineage: Eukaryota; Viridiplantae; Streptophyta; Magnoliopsida; Solanales; Solanaceae
Description: long non-coding RNA (CANN_LNC019458)
Source: RNAcentral